This 1222-nucleotide long non-coding RNA is filed under the name Carica papaya (papaya). Its description in RNAcentral is "long non-coding RNA (CPAP_LNC013492)". The record is from RNAcentral. Lineage: Eukaryota; Viridiplantae; Streptophyta; Magnoliopsida; Brassicales; Caricaceae.
UAAUACAAAUCUCUUACAAAUAUAUAUAUGAGUUCCAAAUUACAUACAUAUAACUAAAGUCUGAAGUAGCUAUAAAAUAUAAAAGACAAAACACAAAAGAAAGCCAUUUCUUUCACUAGGCUGUUGGACUCAUCAGAGUGCGGAAACAAUUAUGUACUCAAAUUUUAUGGAUCCAUUGGAUCCUCAUAGACUUCCAAGGGUAGGUCCACCUACGGUUCCUCAUUUUCUUCUUCAUCUGGGCGAGGAGUAUAGAAAGAGUGAGUUCCACAUGUUAAGUAAGGAAAAUAAUAUUAAAUUAACAUCAUAAAUUUUUAAAGGUGAAUUAUUUUAACUUAAAAGCUUACCAUUUGGCCAUCUCAUAGACCUAUCUUAUAUUAUGAAAAUAAUUUAUUUAUUAAGAAAACUGUACAUUAAUAUGGACAAUCAAACAUACAUCAUGCCAGAUAAUAGAGAAAAUCAAAUAAAUCAUGAAAUGCUCAUAUUUUUGUGUCAUACUUUGUGAAGUCGUUACAGCUUCCAUCUUUGAAGGCAGAUACAGAUUUCCAACUACCCAAGUAGAAUGACCAGAUCAGAUACAAAGACAAUAAUUACUCAGGCUCAUUUUCGGCUGGCCAAACCAUGGUAUGAUCUACAACCACGGUUAUACCAACCAUAGUGGCCCUAUCAGAUAUCUACAGUCAUGACAGUACUUAGCAAAGCGUGACCCCUCACAGAUAUUCACAUUACCACUCUCGUCAGAGGGUACACCAUCAUCCACUGGGAGAGGUCUUCUUAUGUCUUUACAGACCAGAUGGGGGAGGAGAGGAGAAAAUAGAUACCCUGAAAGGCUAGGGGAAUAGAUACCCUCAGAGAUAAAAAUCCUAACGAGACACUUGGUGCAAUAUCCAUGUUAAUAUAGAUAUACUUUUGACCGUUUAUGCUUCAUUCCACAUUUCUCUUUUCUUUUUUUUGUAUUCCUUAUUUUUACCAGGCAAUAAUAUCUACUACAUAUUCUUUUUAUUACAUGUAAUUCAUGAAGUGUCUAUAAUUCACAUAUCAUACUUGAAAAUAAGAACAACUUGACUUAUUCGAACUAUAAACACAAAGGCAUACAAGCAGGUAAAAUCACAAUCAUCAUAUUUAAUAAUAUUAAUUUAUCUAAAAAUACUCCUUAAGAUGUCGAAAGAAAUACUAAAUUCCUUACCGAAAUUUGAUGUUUUCUCCUUCACCGUUCCUCUUUUCU